Molecule: transfer RNA, 61 nt
Filed under: Urocitellus parryii (Arctic ground squirrel)
Lineage: Eukaryota; Metazoa; Chordata; Mammalia; Rodentia; Sciuridae
Also listed under: 1 other name
Description: Spermophilus parryii (Arctic ground squirrel) tRNA
Rfam family: tRNA
About the family: Transfer RNA (tRNA) molecules are approximately 80 nucleotides in length. Their secondary structure includes four short double-helical elements and three loops (D, anti-codon, and T loops).
Source: Rfam by way of RNAcentral
UGUAGCUCAGUGGUAGAGCGCUUGCCUUGCAUGGGUGAGACCCUGGGUUCGAUCCCCAGCA